This 1406-nucleotide ribosomal RNA is filed under the name uncultured bacterium. RNAcentral's name for it is "16S ribosomal RNA". It matches the Rfam family "Bacterial small subunit ribosomal RNA". The record is from RNAcentral.
AGAGUUUGAUCCUGGCUCAGGAUGAACGCUAGCGACAGGCUUAACACAUGCAAGUCGAGGGGCAGCGGUGGUGAAGGCUUGCCUUUACCAGCCGGCGACCGGCGCACGGGUGAGUAACACGUAUGCAACCUGCCUGCCACAGCCGGAUAAUCGGGAGAAAUUCCGUCUAAUACGGCAUAAUGCACCUAUGGGACAUCCUGUUGGUGCCAAAGGUUGAUUCCGGUGGCGGAUGGGCAUGCGUCGCAUUAGUUAGUUGGCGGUGUAACGGACCACCAAGACGACGAUGCGUAGGGGUUCUGAGAGGAAGGUCCCCCACACUGGUACUGAGACACGGACCAGACUCCUACGGGAGGCAGCAGUGAGGAAUAUUGGUCAAUGGGCGGGAGCCUGAACCAGCCAAGUCGCGUGAGGGAUGACGGCCCUAUGGGUUGUAAACCUCUUUUGCCGGGGAGCAAAGUGCCGCACGUGUGCGGUUUGGAGAGUACCCGGAGAAAAAGCAUCGGCUAACUCCGUGCCAGCAGCCGCGGUAAUACGGAGGAUGCGAGCGUUAUCCGGAUUUAUUGGGUUUAAAGGGUGCGUAGGCGGACGCUUAAGUCAGCGGUAAAAUUGCGGGGCUCAACCCUCGUCGAGCCGUUGAAACUGGGUGCCUUGAGUGGGCGAGAAGUACGCGGAAUGCGUGGUGUAGCGGUGAAAUGCAUAGAUAUCACGCAGAACUCCGAUUGCGAAGGCAGCGUACCGGCGCCCAACUGACGCUGAAGCACGAAGGCGUGGGUAUCGAACAGGAUUAGAUACCCUGGUAGUCCACGCAGUAAACGAUGAAUGCUAGUUGUCCGGGGCGAUUGAGUUCUGGGUGACACAGCGAAAGCGUUAAGCAUUCCACCUGGGGAGUACGCCGGCAACGGUGAAACUCAAAGGAAUUGACGGGGGCCCGCACAAGCGGAGGAACAUGUGGUUUAAUUCGAUGAUACGCGAGGAACCUUACCCGGGCUCAAACGCAGGAGGGAUGUUUUUGAAAGGAGGCAGCCAGCAAUGGUCUCCUGCGAGGUGCUGCAUGGUUGUCGUCAGCUCGUGCCGUGAGGUGUCGGCUUAAGUGCCAUAACGAGCGCAACCCCUACCUACAGUUGCCAUCGCGUGAUGGCGGGCACUCUGUGGGGACUGCCUGCGCAAGCAGUGAGGAAGGCGGGGAUGACGUCAAAUCAGCACGGCCCUUACGUCCGGGGCGACACACGUGUUACAAUGGCAGGUACAGCGGGAAGCCACCCGGCGACGGGGCGCGGAACCCGAAAACCUGUCUCAGUUCGGAUUGGAGUCUGCAACCCGACUCCAUGAAGCUGGAUUCGCUAGUAAUCGCGCAUCAGCCACGGCGCGGUGAAUACGUUCCCGGGCCUUGCACACACCGCCCGUCA